Molecule: ribosomal RNA, 465 nt
Filed under: uncultured bacterium
Lineage: Bacteria
Description: partial 16S ribosomal RNA
Rfam family: Bacterial small subunit ribosomal RNA
Source: RNAcentral
CUACGGGCGGCACCAGUGGGGAAUAUUGCACAAUGGGCGCAAGCCUGAUGCAGCCAUGCCGCGUGUAUGAAGAAGGCCUUCGGGUUGUAAAGUACUUUCAGCGGGGAGGAAGGGAGUAAAGUUAAUACCUUUGCUCAUUGACGUUACCCGCAGAAGAAGCACCGGCUAACUCCGUGCCAGCAGGCCGCGGUAAUACGGAGGGUGCAAGCGUUAAUCGGAAUUACUGGGCGUAAAGCGCACGCAGGCGGUUUGUUAAGUCAGAUGUGAAAUCCCCGGGCUCAACCUGGGAGCUGCAUCUGAUACUGGAAAGCGUGAGUCUCGUAGAGGGGGGUAGAAUUCCAGGUGUAGCGGUGAAAUGCGUAGAGAUCUGGAGGAAUACCGGUGGCGAAGGCGGCCCCCUGGACGAAGACUGACGCUCAGGUGCGAAAGCGUGGGGAGCAAACAGGAUUAGAUACCCGCGUAGUC